This 481-nucleotide ribosomal RNA is filed under the name uncultured bacterium. RNAcentral's name for it is "partial 16S ribosomal RNA". It matches the Rfam family "Bacterial small subunit ribosomal RNA", at positions 28 to 504 of the family's 1533-position model. The record is from RNAcentral.
AUUGAACGCUGGCGGCAUGCUUUACACAUGCGAGUCGAACGGCAGCGCGGGCUUCGGCCUGGCGGCGAGUGGCGAACGGGUGAGUAAUGCAUCGGAACGUGCCCAGUAGUGGGGGAUAGCCCGGCGAAAGCCGGAUUAAUACCGCAUACGACCUGAGGGUGAAAGCGGGGGGCCGAAAGGCCUCGCGCUAUUGGAGCGGCCGAUGUCGGAUUAGCUAGUUGGUGGGGUAAAGGCUUACCAAGGCGACGAUCCGUAGCUGGUCUGAGAGGACGACCGGCCACACUGGGACUGAGACACGGCCCAGACUCCUACGGGAGGCAGCAGUGGGGAAUUUUGGACAAUGGGGGCAACCCUGAUCCAGCCAUGCCGCGGGCGGGAAGAAGGCCUUCGGGUUGUAAACCGCUUUUGUUCGGGAAGAAAUCCUCUGGGCUAAUACCCCGGGGGGAUGACGGUACCGGAAGAAUAAGCACCGGCUAACUAC